RNAcentral lists this ribosomal RNA (274 nucleotides) under uncultured bacterium. Its description in RNAcentral is "partial 16S ribosomal RNA". It matches the Rfam family "Bacterial small subunit ribosomal RNA", at positions 523 to 796 of the family's 1533-position model. The record is from RNAcentral.
AUACGGAGGGUGCAAGCGUUAUUCGGAAUCACUGGGCGUAAAGGGUGCGUAGGCGGUUUGAUAAGUCUGAUAUGAAAUCCUAUGGCUCAACCAUAGAACUGCAUUGGAAACUGUCAGACUAGAAUACUGAAGGGGCAGAUGGAAUUAGUGGUGUAGGGGUAAAAUCCGUAGAUAUCACUAGGAAUACCGAAAGCGAAAGCGAUCUGCUGGGAAGUUAUUGACGCUGAGGCACGAAAGCGUGGGGAGCAAACGGGAUUAGAUACCCUAGUAGUCC